AUCACUUCUCAGCCUUUUGGCUAAGAUCAAGUGUAGGAACUAUUUAUUUCUGGGUAAAUAUUUAAAACAUUACUGAAUAUUGGAACAUGAUUUGAUAAACUCUAUUCCAGGGGGCAGAGGCAGGAGGAUCUCUGUGAGUUUGAGGCCUGUCUGGCUUAUGUAGAGUUCUAAGCUAGUCAGGGCUAUGUAGU
This is a small nuclear RNA of Apodemus sylvaticus (European woodmouse), 191 nucleotides long. RefSeq annotates it as U2 spliceosomal RNA. The transcript has a single exon. The record is from RefSeq and is a predicted model, not a curated record. Lineage: Eukaryota; Metazoa; Chordata; Mammalia; Rodentia; Muridae.